RNAcentral lists this transfer RNA (71 nucleotides) under Marmota monax (woodchuck). RNAcentral describes it as "tRNA.Ala". The record is from RNAcentral. Lineage: Eukaryota; Metazoa; Chordata; Mammalia; Rodentia; Sciuridae.
UGGGGUGUGAUACAGUGGUACAGCGUUGCCUAGCAUGCACAAGGCCCUGGAUUCAAUCCCCAGCACCACAC